Molecule: unclassified non-coding RNA, 350 nt
Filed under: soil metagenome
Description: partial contains 5.8S ribosomal RNA, internal transcribed spacer 2, and large subunit ribosomal RNA
Rfam family: 5.8S ribosomal RNA (bases 1-120)
Source: RNAcentral
GAUGAAGAACGCAGCGAAAUGCGAUAAGUAAUGUGAAUUGCAGAAUUCAGUGAAUCAUCGAAUCUUUGAACGCACAUUGCGCCCGCGAGUAUUCUCGCGGGCAUGCCUGUCCGAGCGUCAUUUCAACCCUCAGGGCCCGCCUGCUUGCAGGCGCGGCGCUGGUGUUGGGGAUCGGCUACCCUGCCGUCCCCCAAAUACAGUGGCGGUCUCGCUGCAGCCUCCCCUGCGUAGUAGCAACACUCGCAUGCGGAGCGCGGCGCGGCCACGCCGUAAAACCCCCGACUUUCUGAACGUUGACCUCGGAUCAGGUAGGAAUACCCGCUGAACUUAAGCAUAUCAAUAAGCGGAGA